This 523-nucleotide ribosomal RNA is filed under the name Lactobacillus sp. RNAcentral's name for it is "bacterial SSU rRNA". It matches the Rfam family "Bacterial small subunit ribosomal RNA", at positions 56 to 541 of the family's 1533-position model. The record is from RNAcentral. Lineage: Bacteria; Bacillati; Bacillota; Bacilli; Lactobacillales; Lactobacillaceae.
UGCAGUCGANCGAACUCUGGUAUUGAUUGGUGCUUGCAUCAUGAUUUACAUUUGAGUGAGUGGCGAACUGGUGAGUAACACGUGGGAAACCUGCCCAGAAGCGGGGGAUAACACCUGGAAACAGAUGCUAAUACCGCAUAACAACUUGGACCGCAUGGUCCGAGUUUGAAAGAUGGCUUCGGCUAUCACUUUUGGAUGGUCCCGCGGCGUAUUAGCUAGAUGGUGGGGUAACGGCUCACCAUGGCAAUGAUACGUAGCCGACCUGAGAGGGUAAUCGGCCACAUUGGGACUGAGACACGGCCCAAACUCCUACGGGAGGCAGCAGUAGGGAAUCUUCCACAAUGGACGAAAGUCUGAUGGAGCAACGCCGCGUGAGUGAAGAAGGGUUUCGGCUCGUAAAACUCUGUUGUUAAAGAAGAACAUAUCUGAGAGUAACUGUUCAGGUAUUGACGGUAUUUAACCAGAAAGCCACGGCUAACUACGUGCCAGCAGCCGCGGUAAUAGAUCGGAAGAGCACACGUCU